GUGGGGAAUAUUGGACAAUGGGCGCAAGCCUGAUCCAGCCAUGCCGCGUGAGUGAUGACGGCCUUAGGGUUGUAAAGCUCUUUCGCCAGGGACGAUAAUGACGGUACCUGGAUAAGAAGCCCCGGCUAACUUCGUGCCAGCAGCCGCGGUAAUACGAAGGGGGCUAGCGUUGUUCGGAAUCACUGGGCGUAAAGCGCACGUAGGCGGAUCUUUAAGUCAGGGGUGAAAUCCCGAGGCUCAACCUCGGAACUGCCUUUGAUACUGGGGAUCUCGAGUUCGGGAGAGGUGAGUGGAACUGCGAGUGUAGAGGUGAAAUUCGUAGAUAUUCGCAAGAACACCAGUGGCGAAGGCGGCUCACUGGCCCGAUACUGACGCUGAGGUGCGAAAGCGUGGGGAGCAAACAGGAUUAGAUACCCCAGUAGUCC
This 425-nucleotide ribosomal RNA is filed under the name uncultured bacterium. RNAcentral's name for it is "bacterial SSU rRNA". It matches the Rfam family "Bacterial small subunit ribosomal RNA", at positions 354 to 796 of the family's 1533-position model. The record is from RNAcentral.